UACGGGGGGAGCAAGCGUUGUUCGGAUUUACUGGGCGUAAAGGGCGCGUAGGCGGUCGUGACAAGUCACUUGUGAAAUCUCCGGGCUUAACUCGGAAAGGUCAAGUGAUACUGUCGGACUAGAGUACAGAAGGGGCAACUGGAAUUCUCGGUGUAGCGGUGAAAUGCGUAGAUAUCGAGAGGAACACCUGCGGCGAAGGCGGGUUGCUGGGCUGAUACUGACGCUGAGGAGCGAAAGCGUGGGGAGCAAACAGG
This 254-nucleotide ribosomal RNA is filed under the name uncultured bacterium. RNAcentral describes it as "partial 16S ribosomal RNA". It matches the Rfam family "Bacterial small subunit ribosomal RNA", at positions 524 to 776 of the family's 1533-position model. The record is from RNAcentral.